This 253-nucleotide ribosomal RNA is filed under the name uncultured bacterium. RNAcentral describes it as "partial 16S ribosomal RNA". It matches the Rfam family "Bacterial small subunit ribosomal RNA", at positions 524 to 776 of the family's 1533-position model. The record is from RNAcentral.
GACAGAGGGUGCAAACGUUGUUCGGAAUUACUGGGCGUAAAGCGAGUGUAGGCGGUCUCGUAAGUCGGGUGUGAAAGCCCAGGGCUCAACCCUGGAAGUGCACUCGAUACUGUAAGGCUCGAGUACUGGAGAGGUUGGUGGAAUUCUCGGUGUAGAGGUGAAAUUCGUAGAUAUCGAGAGGAACACCGGUGGCGAAGGCGGCCAACUGGACAGAUACUGACGCUGAGACACGAAAGCGUGGGGAGCAAACAGG